CGAAAUCUAUUAGGGUUUAGAAAAACGAACACGGUGCUUCUCCGGUUCCCCUUCCCUCUCCGCUGCCGUCUACUCCUCCGCUUUCCUCCGACAGCGCCUCCUCCCUCCGUUUGCAUCAACGUCGAGCCGACCAGUUUACAAGGCCUACAACCUCUGGUGAAGCUCGUAGUACGUGCAUCCCCUCAUCCUCUCUUCUGCGUGCGUCUAAGAUCAUAGGAGGAAGGAGAGGUCCUGACACAUUAUCGAGGGACUAAGAAGGGUCUUUGAGUUUAUAAGAAAAUAGGAUGGGUACCGAACCAAAAGCCAACAAGACACCUAAAGUGGUGAAACUUGACAAAGCACUGAAAUUGGCUGAAACAUGGGUUAAUAAUAUGACCACAUCAGCAGGCCAUGAACAGAGCGAAGUAGAAUUUGAGGGUCGACCUUCAAGAUUGGGUCUGGGAGCUAAACUCGCACCAAAAGCUAAAGUAGCAGUUUCAGUCGAUCAAGCAGAGAGGAGAUUGCUUGGGAAGUUAAACUCUAAGAAGAAAUUGUCUUCGGAAAAUGUAGAGAACAAUACCUCAGUUAAAGAGAAUGUGUCCAGUGAGGAGGAUGAACCGGAGAGCAGAACAAGAGCUUUUGUCAAAAAAAGAUCGAUACCACUUCCAGCAACUUUACAGUCUACCAAGAAGAGAAGAUGACGCAUGUUUGGAGACCAACUAAUGGGGAAAAAACGAGUAAAAACUUCCUACUGUGUCAUCUUGCAAGCUUGCAGAGGUACCGCCGUGGCAUGGGCAUAAUUUGUGUGUAAAGUUUUUUUGCACUUUAUUUAUCUUAAAACAAAUGAUUAAUCAGGUCUAACGUCGAAUCUGGGGCGAAACUUUGUUUAUCUUAAGAAGUUUAGGGUUGUUGCACACUGAUCUAUAAUAUUCUGUGAUUGCUUUCGCAAAUUUGUUUGGUAAA
Molecule: long non-coding RNA, 942 nt
Organism: Zingiber officinale
Lineage: Eukaryota; Viridiplantae; Streptophyta; Magnoliopsida; Zingiberales; Zingiberaceae
Exons: 5
Source: RefSeq, a predicted model, not a curated record